GAUGAACGCUAGCGGCAGGCCUAAUACAUGCAAGUCGAACGGAUAUAUGUUUUUCGGAAUAUAUAUUAGUGGCGCACGGGUGAGUAACACGUACAUAACUUGCCCUCAAGCGGGGGAUAGCCUUGGGAAACUGAGAGUAAUACCCCAUAGAAUUAUUGGACGGCAUCGUUUGAUAAUUAAAACUACGGUGCUUGGGGAUAGAUGUGCGUCUGAUUAGCUAGUUGGUGAGGUAACUGCUCACCAAGGCGACGAUCAGUAGGGGGCGUGAGAGCGUGGCCCCCCCACACGGGGUACUGAGACACGGACCCGACUCCUACGGGAGGCAGCAGUAAGGAAUAUUGGUCAAUGGAGGGAACUCUGAACCAGCCAUGCCGCGUGAAGGAUGACGGCCCUCUGGGUUGUAAACUUCUUUUGGAUGGGGCGAAAAAACGGGAUUUAUCUUGGACUGACGGUACCAUCAGAUAAGCACCGGCUAACUCCGUG
This 483-nucleotide ribosomal RNA is filed under the name uncultured bacterium. RNAcentral describes it as "bacterial SSU rRNA". It matches the Rfam family "Bacterial small subunit ribosomal RNA", at positions 28 to 507 of the family's 1533-position model. The record is from RNAcentral.